UGGGUAUGACCUGAAAUGUUUGGCAAUGA
Molecule: non-coding RNA, 29 nt
Filed under: Homo sapiens (human)
Lineage: Eukaryota; Metazoa; Chordata; Mammalia; Primates; Hominidae
Source: RNAcentral